AUUAAAUAGCUGCAGUAUCAAUGACUGUACAAAGGUAGCAUAAUCAUUUGCCUAAUAAUUAUAGGCUAGUAUGAAAGAUUUAAUGAAGAAAAAACUGUCUCAAAUUAAUUUAAUAAAUUUUUUUUUUAAGUUAAAAAACUUAAAUAUAUCUAAAAGACGAGAAGACCCUUUAGAAUUUCAUAUUUAAUUGGGGAGAUUGUAAAAUUAAACUAACUUUUACAUAAACAAACAAAAAUUAUUGAAUUAAUUAUAUUAUAUUUAAAAUCUAAAUAAAUUACCUAAGGGAUAACAGCAUAA
RNAcentral lists this ribosomal RNA (297 nucleotides) under Chelonus sp. 3 NM-2007. RNAcentral describes it as "partial 16S ribosomal RNA". The record is from RNAcentral. Lineage: Eukaryota; Metazoa; Arthropoda; Insecta; Hymenoptera; Braconidae.